CGUAUCGGAAAGCUUCGGCCGGAAGAUGCGUUAUCUAGUGGCGGACGGGUGAGUAACACGUGGGUAACCUGCCUUAUGGAGGGGGAUAACAGAGAGAAAUCACUGCUAAUACCGCAUAAGCACACAUUGCUGCAUGGCAGAGUGUGAAAAGAUUUAUCGCCAUAAGAUGGACCCGCGUCUGAUUAGCCAGUUGGCAGGGUAAAAGCCUACCAAAGCAACGAUCAGUAGCCGAUCUGAGAGGAUGACCGGCCACAUUGGGACUGAGACACGGCCCAAACUCCUACGGGAGGCAGCUGUGGGGAAUAUUGCACAAUGGGGGAAACCCUGAUGCAGCGACGCCGCGUGAGUGAAGAAGUAUUUCGGUAUGUAAAGCUCUAUCAGCAGGGAAGAUAAUGACAGUACCUGACUAAGAAGCCCCGGCUAACUACGUGCCAGCAGCCGCGGUAAUACGUAGGGGGCAAGCGUUAUCCGGAUUUACUGGGUGUAAAGGGAGCGUAGACGGAGUGGCAAGUCUGAAGUGAAAACCCUGGGCUUAACCUGGGGACUGCUUUGGAAACUGUUAAUCUAGAGUGUUGGAGAGGUAAGUGGAAUUCCUGGUGUAGCGGUGAAAUGCGUAGAUAUCAGGAAGAACACCGGAGGCGAAGGCGGCUUACUGGACAAUAACUGACGUUGAGGCUCGAAAGCGUGGGGAUCAAACAGGAUUAGAUACCCUGGUAGUCCACGCUGCAAACGAUGAAUACUAGGUGUCGGGGUGCAAAGCAUCUCGGUG
RNAcentral lists this ribosomal RNA (769 nucleotides) under uncultured Lachnospiraceae bacterium. RNAcentral describes it as "bacterial SSU rRNA". It matches the Rfam family "Bacterial small subunit ribosomal RNA", at positions 63 to 845 of the family's 1533-position model. Lineage: Bacteria; Bacillati; Bacillota; Clostridia; Lachnospirales; Lachnospiraceae. The record is from RNAcentral.